Fusibacter sp. 3D3 is the source of this 1539-nucleotide ribosomal RNA. It matches the Rfam family "Bacterial large subunit ribosomal RNA", at positions 1 to 1543 of the family's 2925-position model. Lineage: Bacteria; Bacillati; Bacillota; Clostridia; Eubacteriales; Fusibacteraceae. The record is from Rfam.
GGUCAAGUUACUAAGAGCAUAGGGUGAAUGCCUUGGUACCAGGAGCCGAAGAAGGACGUGGUAAGCUGCGAAAAGUUACGGGAAGCUGCAAGCAAGCAUUGAUCCGUAAAUGUCCGAAUGGGGAAACCCGGCUGGAGUAAUGUCCAGUCAUCCAUAACUGAAUAAAUAGGUUAUAGGAAGGGAACUCGGGGAACUGAAACAUCUAAGUACCCGAAGGAAGAGAAAACAAUAGUGAUUUCCUAAGUAGCGGCGAGCGAACGGGAAAGAGCCCAAACCUAAGUCUACGGACGAGGGGGUGUGGACAGUCGAUAAAGGUAGCCUGAAUUUUAGCAGAAUCGUUUGGGAAAACGAGCCGAAGAGUGUGAGAGCCACGUAAGCGAAAAGAGGAAGGCGUCGAGACUGAUCCGGAGUACCACGGAGCACGUGAAACUUUGUGGGAAGCAGGCAGGACCAUCUGCCAAGGCUAAAUACUACCUGGUGACCGAUAGUGAAUAGUACCGUGAGGGAAAGGUGAAAAGAACCCCGGAAGGGGAGUGAAAAAGAACCUGAAACCCUAUGUUUACAAGCAAUGGAAGUUCGUUAAAGAACGACCAUGUACUUUUUGUAGAACGGGCCAACGAGUUACGUUAUGCAGCAAGGUUAAGUGCUUAAGGUACGGAGCCGUAGCGAAAGCGAGUCUGAAAAGGGCGAAAUAGUUGUGUGGCGUAGACCCGAAACCAGGUGACCUAUCCAUGUGCAGGUUGAAGCUGAAGUAAAAUUCAGUGGAGGACCGAACCCAUAUCUGUUGAAAAAGGUUGGGAUGACAUGUGGAUAGCGGAGAAAUUCCAAUCGAACCUGGAGAUAGCUGGUUCUCCUCGAAAUAGCUUUAGGGCUAGCCUUGAGAUAGAGAGAUACGGGGGUAGAGCACUGACUGUCCUAGGGGCCUUCACCGGCUACCGAAGACUAUCAAACUCCGAAUACCGAUAUCUUAUGCUCAGGAGUCAGACUGUGUGUGAUAAGAUUCAUAGUCAAAAGGGAAACAGCCCAGACCAUCAGCUAAGGUCCCAAAAUGUAAGUUAAGUGGAAAAGGAUGUGGAAUUGCACAGACAACUAGGAUGUUGGCUUAGAAGCAGCCAUACAUUUAAAGAGUGCGUAAUAGCUCACUAGUCGAGUGAUUCUGCGCCGAAAAUUACCGGGGCUAAAACUUACUACCGAAGCUAUGGAAUUAUACUAWGUAUAAUUGGUAGAGGAGCAUUGUGUGAGGGGUGAAGUAGGAUCGUAAGGACCUAUGGACAUCACACAAGAGAGAAUGUUGGCAUGAGUAACGAGAGACGGGUGAGAAUCCCGUCCGCCGAAAACCCAAGGUUUCCUGAGGAAGGUUCGUCCGCUCAGGGUAAGUCAGGGCCUAAGCCGAGGACGAAAGUCGUAGGCGAUGGACAACAGGUAAAGAUUCCUGUACCACCGAGAACCGUUUGAGAGAGGGAAUGACACAGGAGGUUAGGCUAAGCGCACCGUUGGUUGAGUGCGUCUAAGCAACGAGUCUGGGAAGUAGGAAAAUCC